GAUGAACGCUGGCGGCGUGCCUAAUACAUGCAAGUCGAGCGAACAGAUGAGGAGCUUGCUCCUCUGACGUUAGCGGCGGACGGGUGAGUAACACGUGGAUAACCUACCUAUAAGACUGGGAUAACUUCGGGAAACCGGAGCUAAUACCGGAUAAUAUAUUGAACCGCAUGGUUCAAUAGUGAAAGACGGUUUUGCUGUCACUUAUAGAUGGAUCCGCGCCGCAUUAGCUAGUUGGUAAGGUAACGGCUUACCAAGGCGACGAUGCGUAGCCGACCUGAGAGGGGGAUCGGCCACACGGGAACUGAGACACGGUCCAGACUCCAACGGGAGGCAGCAGUAGGGAAUCUUCCGCAAUGGGCGAAAGCCUGACGGAGCAACGCCGCGUGAGUGAUGAAGGUCUUCGGAUCGUAAAACUCUGUUAUUAGGGAGAACAAAUGUGUAAGUAACUAUGCACGUCUUAACGGUACCUAAUCAGAAAGCCACGGCUAACUACGUG
RNAcentral lists this ribosomal RNA (496 nucleotides) under uncultured bacterium. RNAcentral's name for it is "partial 16S ribosomal RNA". It matches the Rfam family "Bacterial small subunit ribosomal RNA", at positions 28 to 507 of the family's 1533-position model. The record is from RNAcentral.